GAAAAAGUAUGCAAGAACUGCUAACUCAUGCUUCCACGAAUAAAAUCGUGGCUUUUUCA
This 59-nucleotide transfer RNA is filed under the name Mephitis macroura (hooded skunk). RNAcentral's name for it is "tRNA-Ser". Lineage: Eukaryota; Metazoa; Chordata; Mammalia; Carnivora; Mephitidae. The record is from RNAcentral. RNAcentral also lists the same sequence under 1 other name.